This 429-nucleotide ribosomal RNA is filed under the name Chloroflexota bacterium. Its description in RNAcentral is "Chloroflexi bacterium partial 16S ribosomal RNA". It matches the Rfam family "Bacterial small subunit ribosomal RNA", at positions 355 to 776 of the family's 1533-position model. The record is from RNAcentral. Lineage: Bacteria; Bacillati; Chloroflexota.
GGGGGAAUAUUGCACAAUGGGCGCAAGCCUGAUGCAGCCAUGCCGCGUGUAUGAAGAAGGCCUUCGGGUUGUAAAGUACUUUCAGCGGGGAGGAAUGGAGUAAAGUUAAUACCUUUGCUCAUUGACGUUACUCGCAGAAGAAGCACCGGCUAACUCCGUGCCAGCAGCCGCGGUAAUACGGAGGGUGCAAGCGUUAAUCGGAAUUACUGGGCGUAAAGCGCACGCAGGCGGUUUGUUAAGUCAGAUGUGAGAUCCCCGGGCUCAACCUGGGAACUGCAUCUGAUACUGGCAAGCUUGAGUCUCGUAGAGGGGGGUAGAAUUCCAGGUGUAGCGGUGAAAUGCGUAGAGAUCUGGAGGAAUAACGGUGGCGAAGGCGGCCCCCUGGACGAAGACUGACGCUCAGGUGCGAAAGCGUGGGGAGCAAACAAG